ACUCCUACGGGAGGCAGCAGUGGGGAAUAUUGCACAAUGGGGGAAACCCUAGAUGCAGCCAUGCCGCGUGUGUGAAGAAGGCCUUCGGGUUGUAAAAGCACUUUCAGUAGGGAGGAAGGUAGUGUAGUUAACACCUGCAUUAUUUGACGUUACCUACAGAAGAAGCACCGGCUAACUCCGUGCCAGCAGCCGCGGUAAUACGGAGGGUGCGAGCGUUAAUCGGAAUUACUGGGCGUAAAGCGCAUGCAGGCGGCCUGUUAAGUCAGAUGUGAAAGCCCGGGGCUUAACCUCGGAAUUGCAUUUGAAACUGGCAGGCUAGAGUCUUGUAGAGGGGGUG
RNAcentral lists this ribosomal RNA (337 nucleotides) under uncultured bacterium. RNAcentral's name for it is "bacterial SSU rRNA". It matches the Rfam family "Bacterial small subunit ribosomal RNA", at positions 335 to 662 of the family's 1533-position model. The record is from RNAcentral.